Molecule: ribosomal RNA, 468 nt
Filed under: uncultured bacterium
Lineage: Bacteria
Description: partial 16S ribosomal RNA
Rfam family: Bacterial small subunit ribosomal RNA
Source: RNAcentral
GACGAACGCUGGCGGCGUGCUUAACACAUGCAAGUCGAACGGAAAGGCCCUGCUUUUGUGGGGUGCUCGAGUGGCGAACGGGUGAGUAACACGUGAGUAACCUGCCCUUGACUUUGGGAUAACUUCAGGAAACUGGGGCUAAUACCGGAUAGGAGCUCCUGCUGCAUGGUGGGGGUUGGAAAGUUUCGGCGGUUGGGGAUGGACUCGCGGCUUAUCAGCUUGUUGGUGGGGUAGUGGCUUACCAAGGCUUUGACGGGUAGCCGGCCUGAGAGGGUGACCGGCAACAUUGGGACUGAGAUACGGCCCAGACUCCUACGGGAGGCAGCAGUGGGGAAUAAUGCCCGAUGGGCGGAAGCCUGGUGCAGCAACGCCGCGUGAGGGAUGACGGCCUUCGGGUUGUAAACCGUUUUCGCCGGUGACGAAGCGUGAGUGACGGUAAUGGGUAAAGAAGCACCGGCUAACUACGUG